CUGAGUACGGCGGAACACGUGAAAUUCCGUCGGAAUCCGGGAGGACCAUCUCCCAAGGCUAAAUACUCCCUAGUGACCGAUAGUGAACCAGUACCGUGAGGGAAAGGUGAAAAGCACCCCGGAAGGGGAGUGAAACAGUUCCUGAAACCGUGUGCCUACAAGUAGUUAGAGCCCGUUAAUGGGUGAUAGCGUGCCUUUUGUAGAAUGAACCGGCGAGUUACGAUUUGUUGCAAGGUUAAGCGGAAAAAGCGGAGCCGUAGCGAAAGCGAGUCUGAAUAGGGCGCAUAAGUAACAGGUCGUAGACCCGAAACCAGGUGAUCUACCCAUGUCCAGGAUGAAGGUAAGGUAAUACUUACUGGAGGUCCGAACCCACGCACGUUGAAAAGUGCGGGGAUGAGGUGUGGGUAGCGGAGAAAUUCCAAUCGAACUUGGAGAUAGCUGGUUCUCUCCGAAAUAGCUUUAGGGCUAGCCUCGAGGUAAAGAGUCAUGGAGGUAGAGCACUGUUUGGACUAGGGGCCCUUCUCGGGUUACCGAAUUCAGAUAAACUCCGAAUGCCAUGUACUUAUACUCGGGAGUCAGACUGCGAGUGAUAAGAUCCGUAGUCGAAAGGGAAACAGCCCAGACCACCAGUUAAGGUCCCCAAAUAUAUGUUAAGUGGAAAAGGAUGUGGGGUUGCUUAGACAACCAGGAUGUUGGCUUAGAAGCAGCCACCAUUGAAAGAGUGCGUAAUAGCUCACUGGUCGAGUGACCCCGCGCCGAAAAUGUACCGGGGCUAAACAUAUUACCGAAACUGUGGAUGAACCUCUUUAGAGGUUCGUGGUAGGAGAGCGUUCUAAGGGCGGUGAAGUCAGACCGGAAGGACUGGUGGAGCGCUUAGAAGUGAGAAUGCCGGUAUGAGUAGCGAAAGAAGGGUGAGAAUCCCUUCCACCGAAUAUCUAAGGUUUCCUGAGGAAGGCUCGUCCGCUCAGGGUUAGUCGGGACCUAAGCCGAGGCCGAUAGGCGUAGGCGAUGGACAACAGGUAGAGAUUCCUGUACCAGUGCUAAUUGUUUAACCGAUGGGGUGACACAGAAGGAUAGGGAAUCGCACGA
RNAcentral lists this ribosomal RNA (1089 nucleotides) under Listeria monocytogenes. RNAcentral's name for it is "partial 23S ribosomal RNA". It matches the Rfam family "Bacterial large subunit ribosomal RNA", at positions 408 to 1497 of the family's 2925-position model. The record is from RNAcentral. Lineage: Bacteria; Bacillati; Bacillota; Bacilli; Caryophanales; Listeriaceae.